UACAGAGGUCCCAAGCGUUGUUCGGAUUCACUGGGCGUAAAGGGUGCGUAGGCGGCGGGGUAAGUCUGAUGUGAAAUCCUGGGGCUCAACCCUGGAACUGCAUUGGAUACUGCCUUGCUAGAGAACUGGAGAGGAGACUGGAAUUUACGGUGUAGCAGUGAAAUGCGUAGAGAUCGUAAGGAAGACCAGUGGCGAAGGCGAGUCUCUGGACAGUUACUGACGCUGAGGCACGAAAGCUAGGGGAGCAAACAGG
Molecule: ribosomal RNA, 253 nt
Filed under: uncultured bacterium
Lineage: Bacteria
Description: partial 16S ribosomal RNA
Rfam family: Bacterial small subunit ribosomal RNA
Source: RNAcentral